Molecule: long non-coding RNA, 407 nt
Organism: Lycium barbarum (goji berry)
Lineage: Eukaryota; Viridiplantae; Streptophyta; Magnoliopsida; Solanales; Solanaceae
Exons: 2
Source: RefSeq, a predicted model, not a curated record
UUGGAAAUUUACUUUAGAUUGGCUAUUUUGGAAGUGCGUACGAGGUACAGACGCACAGCCUGGUGAUCCACCUGUUUAGGACACCCUUUCUGCUAUUCGGAGUGCUCCUCUCUUUCCGGAGCUUAUACUUUUGGUAUAUAUAUUUAUUAGUGCAUUUGUAUAUAUUCGUUCAUGGGUACGGCAGGGCCCUGUCCCGUCAUAUGAUUCUGUCGGUCUGUUUAGAGGUCUGUGGACAUGUUUGUGGGUUGGGGUCUUUCUGUAUAGAUGUAUGUACAUGUCGUUUGGGCGAUCCCAUACGCCGAGGCGGCCGGUCCGCAUAUGUUGUUUGGGCGAUCCUAUACGCCGAGGCGGCCGGUCCGCAUAUGUUUAUAUAUUGCUUGGUUAGCCCUGUGUGGCUUUUGUUGGUA